This 253-nucleotide ribosomal RNA is filed under the name uncultured bacterium. RNAcentral describes it as "partial 16S ribosomal RNA". It matches the Rfam family "Bacterial small subunit ribosomal RNA", at positions 524 to 776 of the family's 1533-position model. The record is from RNAcentral.
UACGUAGGCAGCGAGCGUUGUUCGGAAUUACUGGGCGUAAAGAGUGUGUAGGCGGUGCUCUAAGUUCGGUGUGAAAUCUCCUGGCUCAACUGGGAGGGUGCGCCGGAAACUGGAGUGCUUGAGCGUGGGAGAGGAAAGCGGAAUUCCUGGUGUAGCGGUGAAAUGCGUAGAUAUCAGGAGGAACACCUGUGGUGUAGACGGCUUUCUGGACCAUAGCUGACGCUGAGACACGAAAGCGUGGGUAGCAAAUAGG